RNAcentral lists this non-coding RNA (202 nucleotides) under Sphingobacterium paucimobilis HER1398. Its description in RNAcentral is "Bacterial small subunit ribosomal RNA". It matches the Rfam family "Bacterial small subunit ribosomal RNA", at positions 1 to 194 of the family's 1533-position model. Lineage: Bacteria; Pseudomonadati; Bacteroidota; Sphingobacteriia; Sphingobacteriales; Sphingobacteriaceae. The record is from Rfam by way of RNAcentral.
ACUAUGGAGAGUUUGAUCCUGGCUCAGGAUGAACGCUAGCGGCAGGCCUAAUACAUGCAAGUCGAACGGGAUCCAUCUGUAGCUUGCUAUAGAUGGUGAGAGUGGCGCACGGGUGCGUAACGCGUGAGCAACCUGCCCAUAUCAGGGGGAUAGCCCGAAGAAAUUCGGAUUAACACCGCAUGAGAUUGCAGUUCCGCAUGGU